UACGUAGGGAGCAAGCGUUGUCCGGAAUCAUUGGGCGUAAAGCGCGCGUAGGUGGCCACAUAAGUCCGUUGUGAAAGUCAAAGGCUACAACCUUUGAAAGCCGAUGGAUACUGUGUGGCUAGAGUACGGAAGAGGCGAGUGGAAUUCCUGGUGUAGCGGUGGAAUGCGCAGAUAUCAGGAGGAACACCAAUAGCGAAGGCAGCUCGCUGGGACGUUACUGACACUGAGGCGCGAAAGUUAGGGGAGCGAACGGG
RNAcentral lists this ribosomal RNA (254 nucleotides) under uncultured bacterium. RNAcentral's name for it is "partial 16S ribosomal RNA". It matches the Rfam family "Bacterial small subunit ribosomal RNA", at positions 524 to 776 of the family's 1533-position model. The record is from RNAcentral.